Molecule: ribosomal RNA, 253 nt
Filed under: uncultured bacterium
Lineage: Bacteria
Description: partial 16S ribosomal RNA
Rfam family: Bacterial small subunit ribosomal RNA
Source: RNAcentral
UACGAAGGGGGCUAGCGUUGUUCGGAAUUACUGGGCGUAAAGCGUGCGCAGGCGGCUUCUCAAGUCAGGGGUGAAAGCCCAGAGCUCAACUCUGGAAUUGCCUUUGAGACUGAGUGGCUUGAGUACGAGAGAGGUGAGUGGGAUUCCCAGUGUAGAGGUGAAAUUCGUAGAUAUUGGGAAGAACACCGGUGGCGAAGGCGGCUCACUGGCUCGUAACUGACGCUCAUGCACGACAGCGUGGGGAUCAAACAGG